GUGCUCAUUUUGGCAGCACAUACAUACUAAAACUGGAAUGAUACAGAAAUUAGCAUGGCCCCUGCACGAGGAUGAUAUGCAAAUUUGUGAGCUGUUUUAUAUUUUU
Molecule: small nuclear RNA, 106 nt
Organism: Apodemus sylvaticus (European woodmouse)
Lineage: Eukaryota; Metazoa; Chordata; Mammalia; Rodentia; Muridae
Source: RefSeq, a predicted model, not a curated record